Molecule: transfer RNA, 63 nt
Filed under: Metopaulias depressus
Lineage: Eukaryota; Metazoa; Arthropoda; Malacostraca; Decapoda; Sesarmidae
Description: tRNA-Cys
Source: RNAcentral
ACUCUAUAGUAUAAGUAAAUAACAUUAAAUUGCAAGUUUAAAAAUAUGUAAAUUAUUAGGGUU